This 251-nucleotide unclassified non-coding RNA is filed under the name uncultured fungus. Its description in RNAcentral is "partial contains 5.8S ribosomal RNA, internal transcribed spacer 2, and large subunit ribosomal RNA". Lineage: Eukaryota; Fungi. The record is from RNAcentral.
AACGCACAUUGCGCCCCUCGGUAUUCCGUGGGGCAUGCCUGUUCGAGCGUCAUUUAAACCUUCAAGCUCAGCUUGGUGUUGGGUGCUUGUCCCGCCUCCGCGCGGCGACUCACCUCAAAGUCAUUGGCAGCCCGCAUCAGCCGGCCGUGAGCGCAGCACAGUCGCGCCCUAGGCCCCGGCGGAUCGGCUCUCCAGAAGCCCAUCUUCUCUUUUUUGACCUCGGAUCAGGUAGGGAUACCCGCUGAACUUAA